This 2840-nucleotide long non-coding RNA is filed under the name Nicotiana benthamiana. RNAcentral's name for it is "long non-coding RNA (NBEN_LNC014797)". Lineage: Eukaryota; Viridiplantae; Streptophyta; Magnoliopsida; Solanales; Solanaceae. The record is from RNAcentral.
GAUGCACUCGUAUGGACAUGGUAACUACAUAAAGAAUGCAAUGAGAUGAGAUGGUCUUAUAGGCAUGAUUUCUGAUACAUAUGAGAAAUAUAAAUCCCCCCAUGUCCCUUUCACCAUACCCCCGAGUUUAUAUUACAACUUAUUACAAAUUGGGCAGAAAAUAGAGACAUUAAAGAAGUAAAUAUUUACAAGUACAUCAGCAGCUAUCAACAUGCCUGAGGAGUCUCGAAGCAACUUUAACUUCCACAUAUGCCUUUUACCAAAUCCAAGCUCCAAAGAGAGGCCUUUCUCAUUUAAGGGUGUUACAAAGUUCCAAAGGCCUUCAAAAGAGACCCAGGCAUUGCUUACACCCUAGUUGGAAUNNNNNNNNNNNNNNNNNNNNNNNNNNNNNNNNNNNNNNNNNNNNNNNNNNNNNNNNNNNNNNNGUUGGGGAUGUAAUAGUGCAAGUGUGGAAUUACCAUCCCUAAGGCAUCCAAGUUCAGAAGAGACUCUCAGGGUCCCUAAGCAUGGCUGGCCAAAGGGGGUAGGAACUUAAUGGGCUAAGAAUAAGUGCAAAGCGAAGAUUAGAGGGGAAAACCAAUGUAUGAAAUGGUCAUACCCAGCCUAUUGAUUGAGACUGGCACACCCCAAACUUCUUACAAUGGUUACAAACAGGAGCAGACUUGUAAACAAGUCAGCCAAGGGCCUGGAAGGUGAUUAGGACACCAACAGGCCUUUGCCAAGGCUCAAACCCAUAAGAAAGGGAAAAGGGAAUGGGAUCAUUUUGAGUAUAGGAAAUUAAGCCUUGGUUCUAGAUUAGAAGUGGCAAUGGGAUGCCAUUCUCAUCCAAAACAAAACUCAUAAGCAAACAUGGAUUAAAAAGGGAAGGGGUAAUCACAUAAAGACUUAAUAGACAAGAUUAAAUUGAAAGACUAACAGAAAUAAGCAUAGUGAUGAACAAUAUACUAACAGAAGAAGAAAUGUAACAUGCAUGAAAGGUACUGAAUAUAAACAACCAAAGAGAAAGGGAGAAGAAUUAGCAUGCUGAAAUUUAACACAAGCAGGCAUACUGAAACAGAUAAGGGAAUGGGAAGGGGAUUAAACAUGACUCAAAUCUACAGCAUAAACAAAGGGAACAAGGGGAGAGGAUUUAAACAUACUAUAACUUAAAUGCAAUACUGAAGUAAACAGACAAAGGGAUGAAGGGAAGGGAAUUAAUACUGAAUUUAAACAUAACAGGCAGGGACUACUGAAGUAAACAGAUAAAGGGAUGAAGGGAAGGGAAUUAAUACUGAAUUUAAACAUAACAGGCAGGGAGACACGGAAAGGGGGUAGUUAUGCAGAAAUUAAACUGUAAGUAUAACAGGCAAGGACAUAUUCAGUAAACAAGUAGUUGAAGGAUUGGUAAUUGAAAUUAGGGCCUACCAGUUGCACUUGAAUAACAAGGCGAAGAGAGAUAUUCUAUAAUUAGCAUUGGCUUUCAGCCGGCUGCCCUUUAACAAAGAGAGCAAGUAGCAAGAAGAGAAGAGAAAAAGCAGAGAGGCUUUUAGUGAGAAGAGUAGAGAGAACUAAAGUUGUUCAGUGUGUGUUAAGUGAGAAAAGAGAGACCCUUUUUAUAGUUGAAAGAAAAGCAUCAGUAAGGUAAAGGAAAUAUUCAGGAAAUCAGUUAGUACCAAUUAGGAGAAGGGCAUCCCUUCAAUUAAGGGAACCGGAUGGAAAAGUAAAAUUAGUCCAGUUCUAAAUUUGGAAAGACAUUAUAGCAUUGAUCACAGAAUACAAGGUAGAUACAUAUAGGAAAAUUUAAAAAAAACACACUGUUGGACAUAUAAGGUAAAUAAUCACCCAAGAAAUCAAGGAGUCGAGAUUUUACUUGCAUGAACUUAGUCAGAAAACAGGGAAUCAUUAGAGAAUCAGAGUUGUACCAAAAUCAAUUAGGGUUUCAGGGAAAAGGGAGAAGCAGCACAAUAAAAGAUUCACAAGUCUGAUAGGGAAUCAUUAGAGAAUCACAGUUGUACCAAAAUCAAUUAGGGUUUCAGAGAAAAAGGAGAAGCAGCACUAUAAAAGAUUCAUAAGUCUGAGCAUGAAUGAACUAGGCAUAGCAGAAUAGCAAAACACAUACGAGAAGAUAAUUAGGCAAACUAGAGUUUCACAGAGAAAGAUGAAAAUACCCUUUAGAAAUUAGAGUUCUACUACAAGUGGGAACACAAGAGAUUAGCAUAGAUGAAGACGAGCAAGAAUAGAACACAAAGAAAGCAGAGAACUAACUGAAUGAAAGCCCUAGAAAGGUAAUCAGUGAGGCAAAAAUAUUUAGGGCUAAAGUAGAAAACACUCAGAAUCGUGAAGAAGGACACAUAGUAGCGAGAAAUAAAACAACAAAAUCAAAAAAUCAAACAGUUCAUAGAAACCCUAGGUUUUGAAAAGAUGAACAGUCUUGAAAAACAGAACUGAGAGGAGAAAAGAUAAGAUACUUAAGAAAAUCUUAGAAAACAAACAAAAACUUACAGAAGAUCGUUAAAUAACAUAGAGAAUCAUGAAAAGAACCUUGAAUCGAUUAGGUUUCUCAUAAAAGGCCUCAGAAAUGGCGAGAAAAGCCUGGACGACUCAUCGGAGCUUGGUGAGGACCCAAGGCUUCAAAGGCUCGCCGGAGAAGAGCCAAACACGACCGUGAAACCACCAUUAAAGGACCUCUGGUCCAGUUAACCUCAAAAUAACCCCGAUCUUCAAACCCGAAGGUUAAGAACGGUGAUAGAUGAACGAGCAUGUGAGUUUCCGGCCAUAGAAUGGCCAUAGAAGCCGACGAAGAAGCCUGAAAGUGACUAGGGUUUAGAGAGAGUUCAGAGAAAAUUUUGGGAGUGAAAGGC